GUGGUUUAAUUCGAAGCAACGCGCAGAACCUUACCAGGUCUUGACAUGCUGGGAUUAAUUGGAUGAAAGUCCGAGGAUUGCCCGCAAGGGUGUAACCAGCACAGGUGCUGCAUGGCUGUCGUCAGCUCGUGCCGUGAGGUGUCAGGUUAAGUCCUUUAACGAGCGAAACCCCUACGUCGAGUUGCCAGCGGGUAAAGCCGGGAACUCUCGACGGACUGCCGCGCAAGCUGGAGGAAGGAGGGGACGACGUCAAGUCAUCAUGGCCUUUAUGACCUGGGCCACACACGUCCUACAAUGGGUGGUAUAAUGGGAAGCAAGGCCGCAAGGCGGAGCCAAUCCAGGAAAGCCACCCUCAGUUCGGAUAGUGGGCUGCAAUUCGCCCACUUGAAGCUGGAAUCGCUAGUAAUCGCGGAUCAGCCACGCCGCGGUGAAUAUGUUCCUGAGCCUUGUACACACCG
RNAcentral lists this ribosomal RNA (458 nucleotides) under uncultured bacterium. RNAcentral describes it as "bacterial SSU rRNA". It matches the Rfam family "Bacterial small subunit ribosomal RNA", at positions 941 to 1392 of the family's 1533-position model. The record is from RNAcentral.